CCUUCCUCGCGCGCCAUAAAAGGCGCUUCCUUCCCUCGGCGGCUUCUGGCUCGAGGCCUGGCCUGGCCUGGCCUAGCCCAGCCCGGCGGCGGGAGAGCAAAGGGAACAAUCCGCCCGCGGGGUGAGGCGGGGAGGGAGGCAGGCAAAGAGAGAGAGAGAGAGAAAGUCGAGGUGGCUGGGUUUGCCAAGGCCUUUAUGGAGCGGCCCCGGAGGCCACGAAAGGAGGAGUGCUGGCGAAAAGAGGAAUGGAUCUUUUGUUGCUGCCGCUGCUCAGGCCUUUGCCUGUUAGAAUAAAAACAAAAUAAUGCCCCCGCCCAGCGCCCUGUUUUAACCAGAGGGGGUAAUAGUGAGGUGAAUAGAGGACCUAUUCCUUGCAUUCUGAGUAGAUAGACCUCGUAGAAUACGAAUUUCCCAGUAAGGCAGAUUUUCACCUCAGAAACUCAUUUAAAGCCCCCACCCACAAUAUCCAAGCAGUGACUGUACAUGUCUCCUUUUGCCUUCAGGGCCCUGAUGAGAAAAGAUGAUGUGGAAUUUAUGCCUGUAAUGCAACAACUGAAGGUGUAGGAGCCUAGCCUGGAAAAAAGAAAUAGGCAAUCUCUUUAUUGAACAUCAAUUAUAAAAUUUUCACAAGCAUAUUGGCAAAUAGGUUAAAAAUCUUCCUGAGUAGAAUAAUAGAAAGAGAUCAGGCCGGCUUUCUUCCACAAAGGCAAAUAAAAGAUAACGUCAGAGUAAUUAUCGAUCUUCUGGAAUACGCUGACAUGAAUCCAGGCCUCGAAAUUGCGAUGUUGCUCGUUGACGCGGAGAAGGCAUUCGACAGCGUGUCCUGGCCUUUUAUGAUUAGCGUAUGUGAAAACCUAAAGAACUUUGGUGCAGUGUGGGGGUCAAGCUCAGUCCAUUUCAUGCCCAGGCUGACAGAUCUUCUGUUUUUUCAUGGUUCGCCAUCUGUCCUUGAUCGCCUGAGGAGUCCGAUCCUGAAAGGGGAAUUCCUUGGAAAUGGCUGUCCACUUCCCUUCCACAAACUUUUCCACGCCUUCCUUUAUCCAUUCUGACUCCUGUGAAC
Molecule: non-coding RNA, 1060 nt
Organism: Zootoca vivipara (common lizard)
Lineage: Eukaryota; Metazoa; Chordata; Lepidosauria; Squamata; Lacertidae
Source: RefSeq, a predicted model, not a curated record